AGUGAACGCUGGCGGUAGGCCUAACACAUGCAAGUCGAACGGCAGCACAGUAAGAGCUUGCUCUUACGGGUGGCGAGUGGCGGACGGGUGAGGAAUACAUCGGAAUCUACUUUUUCGUGGGGGAUAACGUAGGGAAACUUACGCUAAUACCGCAUACGACCUACGGGUGAAAGCAGUGGAUCGUCGGGCCUUGCGCGAUUGAAUGAGCCGAUGUCGGAUUAGCUAGUGGGCGGGGUAAAGGCCCACCAAGGCGACGAUCCGUAGCUGGUCUGAGUGGAUGGUCAGCCACACGGGAACUGAGACACGGUCCAGACUCCUACGGGAGGCAGCAGUGGGGAAUAGUGGACAACGGGCGCAAGCCUGAUCCAGCCAUACCGCGUGGGUGAAGAAGGCCUUCGGGUUGUAAAGCCCUCUUGUUGGGAAAGAAAAGCAGCCGGUUAAUACCCCGCUGUUCUGACGGUACCCAAAGAAUAAGCACCGGCUAACUUCGUG
RNAcentral lists this ribosomal RNA (492 nucleotides) under uncultured bacterium. RNAcentral describes it as "partial 16S ribosomal RNA". It matches the Rfam family "Bacterial small subunit ribosomal RNA", at positions 29 to 507 of the family's 1533-position model. The record is from RNAcentral.